This 926-nucleotide long non-coding RNA is filed under the name Homo sapiens (human). RNAcentral describes it as "long non-coding RNA NONHSAT129704.2". The record is from RNAcentral. Lineage: Eukaryota; Metazoa; Chordata; Mammalia; Primates; Hominidae.
AGCCAGGGGCAAGCCAGGAUGCCCUGUGGUUGUGGCGCCCCAGGCCAUCCCAAACCCAGUGGCAGAGGAAGCUGCUCCAAUGGAUGGGGGAGAAGCCUGGGGAGGAGGGGGAGGAAGACAAGAAGGAAGAGGAGGAGGAGAAGGAAGACGAGGAGCUGGACUGGGCCUUGGCUUCCCUGAGCCCGCACUCCAACCAGCAGCUGGAUUCCUGGGAACUGGAGGAUCAGAGUGCUGUGGACUGGACCCAGGAGCCCCGGCGGCGCAGCUGCAAGGUUGCCAGGACCCACCCUCAUCCCUGGCACCGUCAUGGGAGUUUGCUCUUGGAUGAGCAUUACGGGCAUCUGCCCAAGUUUCUGCAUUUCUUCAUCUACCAGACCUGGUUCAAAAAGUUGUUCCCCAUCUUCAGCCUGCAGGUUGGAGGGAACUGGGGAUGCAUGAGAAGCAUGGGUUAGGGUGAGGGACAGGGGAGAAGGUAGGGGCUGGCUUGGGUGUGACAUGGGAGCAGGGCCUCAGCAUGCUACCCUGCAGGCAUACCCGGAGGCGGGCACGAUCGAGGGCCUGGCCUCGCUGUUGGUGGCCCUGCUGGAGAAGACCACGUGGGUCGACCGUGUGCACAUCCUGCAGGUGCUACUGAGACUGCUGCCCAACAUGAGCAGUGAUCUCCAAGGCCAGCUGCAGGGCCUGCUCGUACACUUGCUCAACCUGGACCAGCCCCCCAGCCUCCAGGUGUGCCCCUUGUCCUGCCCCCAGUUUUCCUCCCCGCCCACCGGCCCUCAGCAACCACAUCCCCACCGCCUGCCUCAGGACCAGACACAGAAGAAGUUCGUGAUACUGGCGCUGCAGCUGCUCCUGGCCUGCUCCCUGGAGUCCCGGGAUGUGGUGCUGGAGCUCAUGUCCUACUUCCUCUACUCUCCCGUGCACUGCCG